This 906-nucleotide ribosomal RNA is filed under the name uncultured bacterium. RNAcentral's name for it is "bacterial SSU rRNA". It matches the Rfam family "Bacterial small subunit ribosomal RNA", at positions 8 to 880 of the family's 1533-position model. The record is from RNAcentral.
AGAGUUUGAUCCUGGCUCAGGACGAACGCUGGCGGCGUGCCUAAUACAUGCAAGUCGAACGAAGCUUUCUUUCACCGAAUGCUUGCAUUCACCGAAAGAAAACUUAGUGGCGAACGGGUGAGUAACACGUAGGCAACCUGCCCAAAAGAGGGGGAUAACACUUGGAAACAGGUGCUAAUACCGCAUAACCAUGAACACCGCAUGAUGUUCAUGUAAAAGACGGCUUUUGCUGUCACUUUUGGAUGGGCCUGCGGCGUAUUAACUUGUUGGUGGGGUAACGGCCUACCAAGGUGAUGAUACGUAGCCGAACUGAGAGGUUGAUCGGCCACAUUGGGACUGAGACACGGCCCAAACUCCUACGGGAGGCAGCAGUAGGGAAUCUUCCACAAUGGACGAAAGUCUGAUGGAGCAACGCCGCGUGAAUGGAGAAGGCCUUCGGGUCGUAAAAUUCUGUUGUCAGAGAAGAACGUGCGUGAGAGUAACUGUUCACGUAUUGACGGUAUCUGACCAGAAAGCCACGGCUAACUACGUGCCAGCAGCCGCGGUAAUACGUAGGUGGCAAGCGUUGUCCGGAUUUAUUGGGCGUAAAGGGAACGCAGGCGGUCUUUUAAGUCUGAUGUGAAAGCCUUCGGCUUAACCGAAGUAGUGCAUUGGAAACUGGAAGACUUGAGUGCAGAAGAGGAGAGUGGAACUCCAUGUGUAGCGGUGAAAUGCGUAGAUAUAUGGAAGAACACCAGUGGCGAAAGCGGCUCUCUGGUCUGUAACUGACGCUGAGGUUCGAAAGCGUGGGUAGCAAACAGGAUUAGAUACCCUGGUAGUCCACGCCGUAAACGAUGAGUGCUAAGUGUUGGAGGGUUUCCGCCCUUCAGUGCUGCAGCUAACGCAUUAAGCACUCCGCCUGGGGAG